Small nuclear RNA from Ursus americanus (American black bear), 107 nucleotides. NCBI's taxonomy places the organism in Eukaryota, Metazoa, Chordata, Mammalia, Carnivora, Ursidae. The record is from Ensembl.
GUGCUCGCUUUGGCAGCACGCAUACUAAACUUGGAAUGAUACCGAGAAGAUUAGCAUGGCCCUUGAGCAAGGAUGACACACAAAUUCGUAAAGUGUUCUGUAUUUAA